Xiphophorus hellerii (green swordtail) is the source of this 914-nucleotide long non-coding RNA. RefSeq lists it as uncharacterized. The record is from RefSeq and is a predicted model, not a curated record. The transcript has 4 exons. NCBI's taxonomy places the organism in Eukaryota, Metazoa, Chordata, Actinopteri, Cyprinodontiformes, Poeciliidae.
UUUGGCCUGGAUUAUUUGUAUUGUUCUUUUUGCUAUUUUAAUCUCUUCCCCCUAUUAUACAGGAAUAAUAUCUGUUGUCUUCACUGCCAGCAUGUUCAUCAUCUGUCUAGCUGUAACUCUCAAAUCUCUCUUUGUCGCCACCUCAGAAUCGGCUGAAGAAAAGUACAGAGUUGUUGGAGCAUUAGUUCUGUUGCUGGUUAAUUACAUUUUUUUAAUUCUCCCCAUGAUUGAUUUUUCAAUCAUUCCAGAUUUCCGUGAUUUCAACAUGAAGCUAUUUUUUACCUUGAGUCUGCACUGCCCUGUAAUAGAUUUUCUUUUGCUGGGUUUUAUGUCCAAAGGGCCUUUUAUCAGGCUGCUGAUGCGUCUCUGCUGCUGCAGGAAGAGGAAUCCUGCAGAGAACGACAGCAGCAGAUCAGCUGUUGGAUUAUAGUACAGAUUAUAACUGGGCUCAGAGACAGAGACUAAGGACAGAGGAAGGACGGUGUGAGAUUAGAGAGAAAACCACUUUCCAACGCAGAAGUGGUUUGUUACAAAGUUUGGUACAAACUCCGGGUUUUAAGCUGCUUUCACACCUCGACUGUUUCUCUCCAUUUCUAUUUAAGAACUUCAUCUCAGUUGAACAUCACAGAACAAGAAAUGGAUUCUUCAGAUUUUGUUUACGUGAUGAUUUGGAUGAACAUCCGUGUCUGCAUCCCAUUCACCUUGAUAGUUUUUGCUCUGGGUUGUGUAGUCAGAUUGGAUGGUUUUCCUGUCACCUUCUACAUGAACCUUCUCGUCUCCAACCUGAUCCAACUCGGUGGUUUGGUUAUUUUAAUGGUGAAGAUGAAUGAAAAUAAUUUCCAUCUAAUCUGCUACGUUGUCGUCGGCUGUGGCGCUUUGGCCAGUAUUUGUUUCAGGACAGUCAUUGCUCUGGA